RNAcentral lists this ribosomal RNA (497 nucleotides) under uncultured bacterium. RNAcentral describes it as "partial 16S ribosomal RNA". It matches the Rfam family "Bacterial small subunit ribosomal RNA", at positions 28 to 507 of the family's 1533-position model. The record is from RNAcentral.
GACGAACGCUGGCGGCGUGCCUAAUACAUGCAAGUUGAGCGCUGAAGGUUGGUACUUGUACCAACUGGAUGAGCAGCGAACGGGUGAGUAACGCGUGGGGAAUCUGCCUUUGAGCGGGGGACAACAUUUGGAAACGAAUGCUAAUACCGCAUAAAAACUUUAAACACAAGUUCUAAGUUUGAAAGAUGCAAUUGCAUCACUCAAAGAUGAUCCCGCGUUGUAUUAGCUAGUUGGUGAGGUAAAGGCUCACCAAGGCGAUGAUACAUAGCCGACCUGAGAGGGUGAUCGGCCACAUUGGGACUGAGACACGGCCCAAACUCCUACGGGAGGCAGCAGUAGGGAAUCUUCGGCAAUGGACGAAAGUCUGACCGAGCAACGCCGCGUGAGUGAAGAAGGUUGUCGGAUCGUAAAACUCUGUUGGUAGAGAAGAACGUUGGUGAGAGUGGAAAGCUCAUCAAGUGACGGUAACUACCCAGAAAGGGACGGCUAACUACGUG